AGGUACAGUCAAAUCAGGCCCCUUGCGAAACCUGACUGUUCGUCCCUCAAAAAAGAAGUUUACAAUCUUACGACUUUCAUCCUUCACGCGGCGUUGCUGGGUCAGGCUUUCGCCCAUUGCCCAAUAUUCCUCA
This 133-nucleotide ribosomal RNA is filed under the name uncultured bacterium. Its description in RNAcentral is "partial 16S ribosomal RNA". The record is from RNAcentral.